CCUAUGGGUGGCAGCAGUGGGGGAUCUUGCACAAUGGGGGGAACCCUGAUGCAGCGACGCCGCGUGGGUGAAGAAGCGCCUCGGCGCGUAAAGCUCUGUUAGCAGGGAAGAAAAUGACGGUACCUGAAGAAUAAGCCCCGGCUAACUACGUGCCAGCAGCCGCGGUAAUACGUAGGGGGCAAGCGUUAUCCGGAUUUACUGGGUGUAAAGGGGGCGCAGACGGCGUUGCAAGCCAGGAGGGAAAGCCCGGGGGCCAAACCCGGGAAUGCUCUUGGAACCGAGUGACUGGAGUGCAGGAGGGGAAUGUGGAAUUCCUGGUGUAGCGGUGAAAUGCGUAGAUAUCAGGAGGAACACCGGUGGCGAAGGCGGCCUGCUGGACUGCAACUGACGUUGAGGCCCGAAAGCGUGGGGAGCAAACAGGAUUAGAUACCCCUGUAGUC
RNAcentral lists this ribosomal RNA (440 nucleotides) under uncultured bacterium. Its description in RNAcentral is "partial 16S ribosomal RNA". It matches the Rfam family "Bacterial small subunit ribosomal RNA", at positions 338 to 795 of the family's 1533-position model. The record is from RNAcentral.